UGUCGGCUCAUCACAUCCUGGGGCUGUAGUAGGUCCCAAGGGUUGGGCUGUUCGCCCAUUAAAGUGGUACGCGAGCUGGGUUCAGAACGUCGUGAGACAGUUCGGUCCCUAUCCGUCGCAGGCGUAGGAAAUUUGAGAAGACCUGUCCUUAGUACGAGAGGACCGGGAUGGACGUACCUCUGGUGUACCAGUUGUCCUGCCAAGGGCAUGGCUGGGUAGCUAUGUACGGAAUGGAUAAGCGCUGAAAGCAUCUAAGCGCGAAGCCAACUUCAAGAUAAGAUUUCCCACCGCAAGGGUAAGACCCCAGAAAGACUAUCUGGUUGAUAGGUCGAAGGUGUAAGUGCAGCAAUGUAUUUAGCUUAUCGAUACUAAUAGGUCGAGGACUUGACCAAU
RNAcentral lists this ribosomal RNA (393 nucleotides) under Clostridioides difficile. Its description in RNAcentral is "partial 23S ribosomal RNA". It matches the Rfam family "Bacterial large subunit ribosomal RNA", at positions 2530 to 2925 of the family's 2925-position model. The record is from RNAcentral. Lineage: Bacteria; Bacillati; Bacillota; Clostridia; Peptostreptococcales; Peptostreptococcaceae.